CCUACGGGCGGCAGCAGUGGGGAAUAUUGGACAAUGGGGGCAACCCUGAUCCAGCCAUGCCGCGUGUGUGAAGAAGGCCCUCGGGUUGUAAAGCACUUUCAGUGAGGAAGAACGCCUGGUGGUUAAUACCCAUCAGGAAAGACAUCACUCACAGAAGAAGCACCGGCUAACUCCGUGCCAGCAGCCGCGGUAAUACGGAGGGUGCGAGCGUUAAUCGGAAUUACUGGGCGUAAAGCGCGCGUAGGUGGCUUGAUAAGCCGGUUGUGAAAGCCCCGGGCUCAACCUGGGAACGGCAUCCGGAACUGUCAAGCUAGAGUGCAGGAGAGGAAGGUAGAAUUCCCGGUGUAGCGGUGAAAUGCGUAGAGAUCGGGAGGAAUACCAGUGGCGAAGGCGGCCUUCUGGACUGACACUGACACUGAGGUGUGAAAGCGUGGGUAGCAAACAGGAUUAGAUACCCCAGUAGUC
RNAcentral lists this ribosomal RNA (465 nucleotides) under Vreelandella stevensii. RNAcentral's name for it is "partial 16S ribosomal RNA". It matches the Rfam family "Bacterial small subunit ribosomal RNA", at positions 338 to 795 of the family's 1533-position model. The record is from RNAcentral. Lineage: Bacteria; Pseudomonadati; Pseudomonadota; Gammaproteobacteria; Oceanospirillales; Halomonadaceae.